RNAcentral lists this long non-coding RNA (995 nucleotides) under Mus caroli (Ryukyu mouse). RNAcentral describes it as "lncRNA (MGP_CAROLIEiJ_G0003905.1)". The record is from RNAcentral. Lineage: Eukaryota; Metazoa; Chordata; Mammalia; Rodentia; Muridae.
AAUUUCAAGGAAGCACUUUGGGCGCCAGGAUUCCCAGCACUUAGCUGGUGGGCAAAGGGGCUCAUCCCCUUCCCCACAUCCCACCUUCCCUCCUCCCAGUCUUCGGGAGUGCGGAGCUCCUGCCGGGAUCCAAGAGCAGGCUCUUGGAGGUCGAAGAAGGAUAUAACCUCCAGACCUGGAAUUUAAGACGCAAGAACCAGCCAGCAAAUGUGGCAGCAGAGCAUGCGAGGGACUGCUGAAGGCUUUUUAUUUGGAAGCUAUGAAACUUGAGGUUCUACUGAAAAGGAGAAGAGGCUGCUGGAGAUGGGAAGNCAAGAAAACCCUCUCACUGGCAUGGAGCACAGCAAGCAGGCUAGGCUGGCUGGCUAGUGAUCUCCAUCCCAUCUAUCUUUGCCUUCUCAGCACCGGGAUUGCAUACCCACCCAGAAUUCUUGGCAUGUUUCUUCAUCCUCUCCAUUUCAANUUUUAUUUUUAUAAAAGGAAGAUAACAGUAAGAUAUCUAAUUUCAUUAAUGUUUAAUCAAGAAAGUUGUAAAGGUUUAAAUAUAUGUUCUAUUUUGAUUUAUCUCCUAGUGUGUUUCAAGGAGAACUUUCCAAGAUCUGAGGGUCAACUGUCAGCUUCACGUGUUUUAAAUUGACAUGUAUUUGUCCAGAUUUACAGAGUUCAGCAUAGCAAGUUAACGCAUGAUAUGUAAUAAAUGAUGAUCCAAUUGGGGGUAUUUAGUAUUUCCAUUUCUUCAUUUAUCACUCUAUGCUCUGGGAAGCAUCAAAGUCUUUUAGUUAUUUUGAAGUAUCUCAUGAAUGUUAUAGGCAACAAUUAGGUCAUUUCAGCAUGAACCAUAGGGGGAAAAAUCCUCCUGUUUAUUGACUAUUGGUAUAUUUCUGUGGAUUGAUGCCUAUUACAUAACCUCUUUGCAGCCACACACCCCUGUCUUUAAUGACCUGUAGUCUACUCUAUUUUAUGAAGUCAAUUGUAUUAAAUCUCCAAGAUAAUUG